ACAAACUUGGUCAUUUAGAGGAAGUAAAAGUCGUAACAAGGUUUCCGUAGGUGAACCUGCGGAAGGAUCAUUACUGAGUUAGGGAAUCCCCCGUGAAAACCACACGGGGGCCCGACCUCCAACCCAAUGUCUACUUUACCUUCUUGUUGCUUCGGCGAGCCCGCCCCCUCUAGGGGGCCGCCGGAGGGUUUUUAACAACCACCUUCUGGUCCGCUGCUCGCCGGUAGCCCCCCAACCAAAACUCUUGUUACAUCACUUGUCUGAAACAACAGUUAAAUAAAAUAACUAAAAACUUUCAACAACGGAUCUCUUGGUUCUGGCAUCGAUGAAGAACGCAGC
RNAcentral lists this unclassified non-coding RNA (339 nucleotides) under uncultured fungus. Its description in RNAcentral is "partial contains small subunit ribosomal RNA, internal transcribed spacer 1, and 5.8S ribosomal RNA". The stretch from base 1 to 73 matches the Rfam family "Eukaryotic small subunit ribosomal RNA", at positions 1759 to 1831 of the family's 1831-position model. Lineage: Eukaryota; Fungi. The record is from RNAcentral.